GCACCGGAAUCCGGUCAACCCGACCUUUCUCCGGCAUCCGGAGCACCGAUUGACCACGCGCCUAUUCGGCGAUUCGUCCGAUCUCGCGAUCUCCGACGCCGUCGUCUUCCGGAAGGUCUCGACCGGGGCCUCGAAGCUGAAGGAUGAGGUAGAUCUCGGACUUUUCUCUGCAGAAAACUUCAAAAUCGCCGCGGACGAAGACGACGAUGAGGUGGUGGCGGCGGCCGAUGCGGCGUUGAAGCACUUCUGGCACAUGUUGUUGGUGGAGGGAUUACCGGUGACGCCGCAGUUGUUGACGCAGUGCGUUAGAGUUUCGGGGACCUUGAACUCCGUCUCUUCCUUCUCCGCUCUCUGUGCCAU
RNAcentral lists this long non-coding RNA (360 nucleotides) under Malus domestica (apple). Its description in RNAcentral is "long non-coding RNA (MDOM_LNC006395)". Lineage: Eukaryota; Viridiplantae; Streptophyta; Magnoliopsida; Rosales; Rosaceae. The record is from RNAcentral.